Molecule: non-coding RNA, 46 nt
Organism: Fukomys damarensis (Damara mole-rat)
Lineage: Eukaryota; Metazoa; Chordata; Mammalia; Rodentia; Bathyergidae
Source: Rfam
CCAAAGGCUCUUUUCAGAGCCGCCUACUGUCUCUGCUAAAGAACUG